CUUGGUCUACAAGAUAAGUGAUACGACUUCGAAAAUCUAUGGCCUUAGAAACGUGUUGUUGAGAAUAAAAACUAUCACGGAGCCAAAGUAUCGUUCAAACAACAAAAGCAAGCGCUCACCGUACAGCAUUACGCGGCUCUAGCCUUUCGAUAUGGCUAAGGAUAACAAUACGUUUUUUACUAGAGCCUCGAUCCGAGCACUCUGAGGGAAGUAUAACCUAACCUAACAUUGAUAGAUAACCUUGACUUGGAGUAGCGCUUCCAUUGUGCGCUCGCUACUCACUUGCUUUCUGAUACACCCUGGGAUGUUUUCUGUAGGACAAAUUUCAAAUUUUCGAAUUUGUUCUUCAAAUGUAUUGUUCUGCAUCGAGCGACGCUGCCCUCAUUCGUCCAUUUGUUCGGCCAGAAUCACACCAUCACAGUAUUGCUCGAUCGCAAGGGACCAUAUCUAGUUAGGACUGAGUUUCUGAACGGCUUGAACUUUCAGC
RNAcentral lists this small RNA (487 nucleotides) under Histoplasma ohiense. Its description in RNAcentral is "hypothetical lncRNA". The record is from RNAcentral. Lineage: Eukaryota; Fungi; Ascomycota; Eurotiomycetes; Onygenales; Ajellomycetaceae.